UUGACUCCCCUGGGAAACCUUGCACACGCAGCCAGAGAGGGGCCAUCAUUGGUGGAGUUUCCUGCAAAGAAGCAAAAUCACAAGCUGAAGCGUGAGUUGAUUGGAGGAACUUGGUGACUGUAACAACACAACCUCUCUGACCCAAGACUCUACACUGUUCAGAGUAGGGGUGAAGGCACCUCAUCGACCAGACAAGGAGUCAUGAAGAGACCCUGGGGAGCUCUGCUGGGGCUUCUGUGGGUGCAGGUUUGCUGGGUGAGAGGGAUGGAGGUGGAGCAGAGACCUCCAGCCACGAACGUCCAGGAGGGAGCCAGCUCUACCCUGAGCUGCAACUUUUCCAGGACAGCGAACAAUGUACAGUGGUUCCGACAGAACCCUGGGGGCGGCGGCCUCACGCGGCUGUUUUACAUCGCGUCAGGGAUGAAGCAGGACGGGAGGUUAGAAUGCACGCUGAACAGUAAGGAGCGGCACAGCAGCCUGCACGUCAGGGCCUCCAGGCAGGAAGACUCAGCCACCUACCUGUGUGCGGUGGAGGCACAGUGCUCCCUGCUGCCCUGCAGCCUGUCCCCAAAGUGCAGCUGGGCUCGCAGCCCAGGCUCCUCCACCAGGAAGCCUUCCUACCUCAGCAGCAUUUGCACAGCCCUGUUUCCUCUUCAUUUUGUCGGACUUUUAAUUCUCUAUAAUCGUAAACCUAUAAUGCUAACAUGGAGCUCUUAGAGAUGCUAAAGACAGUGGCAAGAUUCAAACCCACACUUAAGUAAA
Non-coding RNA from Suricata suricatta (meerkat), 762 nucleotides. The record is from the annotation of a RefSeq genome assembly. NCBI's taxonomy places the organism in Eukaryota, Metazoa, Chordata, Mammalia, Carnivora, Herpestidae.